Molecule: unclassified non-coding RNA, 241 nt
Filed under: Hevea brasiliensis (rubber tree)
Lineage: Eukaryota; Viridiplantae; Streptophyta; Magnoliopsida; Malpighiales; Euphorbiaceae
Source: RNAcentral
GGCAGCCUGAAAGAGAAAAUUGCUGGAGAAAUCCAACUUCCUGCAAACAAGCAGAAAUUAAGUGGAAAAGCUGGUUUCCUAAAGGAUAAUAUGUCACUUGCCUACUACAACAUUGGAGCAGGAGAGGCACUGUCUCUUUCUUUGAGAGAGCGUGGUGGUAGAAAGAGAUGAAGGUGUUCCUUGACACAGCCAUUUAAGGUGGUCUUUUUUUCUAUUUCCCCCCCUUUUUACCCAACAUAUU